UAUUUGAUUUUCUUCGGAACUGAAGAUUUGGUGAUUGAGUGGCGGACGGGUGAGUAACGCGUGGGUAACCUGCCCUGUACAGGGGGAUAACAGUCAGAAAUGACUGCUAAUACCGCAUAAGACCACAGCACCGCAUGGUGCAGGGGUAAAAACUCCGGUGGUACAGGAUGGACCCGCGUCUGAUUAGCUGGUUGGUGAGGUAACGGCUCACCAAGGCGACGAUCAGUAGCCGGCUUGAGAGAGUGAACGGCCACAUUGGGACUGAGACACGGCCCAAACUCCUACGGGAGGCAGCAGUGGGGAAUAUUGCACAAUGGGGGAAACCCUGAUGCAGCGACGCCGCGUGAGUGAAGAAGUAUCUCGGUAUGUAAAGCUCUAUCAGCAGGGAAGAAAAUGACGGUACCUGACUAAGAAGCCCCGGCUAACUACGUGCCAGCAGCCGCGGUAAUACGUAGGGGGCAAGCGUUAUCCGGAAUUACUGGGUGUAAAGGGUGCGUAGGUGGUAUGGCAAGUCAGAAGUGAAAACCCAGGGCUUAACUCUGGGACUGCUUUUGAAACUGUCAGACUGGAGUGCAGGAGAGGUAAGCGGAAUUCCUAGUGUAGCGGUGAAAUGCGUGGAUAUUAGGAGGAACAUCAGUGGCGAAGG
RNAcentral lists this ribosomal RNA (646 nucleotides) under uncultured Lachnospiraceae bacterium. RNAcentral's name for it is "bacterial SSU rRNA". It matches the Rfam family "Bacterial small subunit ribosomal RNA", at positions 65 to 721 of the family's 1533-position model. The record is from RNAcentral. Lineage: Bacteria; Bacillati; Bacillota; Clostridia; Lachnospirales; Lachnospiraceae.